Long non-coding RNA from Cucumis melo (muskmelon), 1778 nucleotides. RefSeq lists it as uncharacterized. NCBI's taxonomy places the organism in Eukaryota, Viridiplantae, Streptophyta, Magnoliopsida, Cucurbitales, Cucurbitaceae. The transcript has 2 exons. The record is from RefSeq and is a predicted model, not a curated record.
GCAUCCUUCUCUGUUCAGCAGCGCAGCCGAGCCGCAAUCGCGACCGAGCCGUCGCCGAGUUUCCAGCCGCGCCGGGAGAUCGUCCAAGCCGAUCUGCGCAGCCGAGCGCCCGUCGGACGCCGAAGCCGAGUCGAAGCCGCCUCCGUGCGUCCGCAGCCAACCCGUCAGCCAGCCGAGGCGCGCCGCUCCGAUCCGACGCAAGCGCAGCCGAAACGCCAGUCGUAGCCGUCGCCGAGCGAAGCCGCGGUAGCCGGACCACCAGCAGCCGCCGCGCCACCCGAGAUCCGGAAGCCGAAGCCUCGCGCGCAAAGGUCCGACCGAAGACCCGCCCCGCGACCCGAACCGACGCGCGCCACCCUCCGGAAACCCGACCCGCGCCCGCGUGCACCCGUGCGUGAGCCGCGCCCGCGUGUGAAGCCGCGCCCGCGUGUGAAGCCGCGCCGCGCGCUUUUGUGUAGCCGAGCCGCGUCUCCCUGUUGCAAGCCGAGCCGCGUCUCCCCCUGUUGCAAGCCGAGCCGCACGCGAAAUCCCUGUACCGAGCCGAGCCGCGUCUGCCCAAGCCGAGCCGGUCCUGUCUUCUUCCAGCCGAGCCGCCAGGACUAAAUUGGCUCCAUCCACCUAUAUUUUGGUAAGCUAAUUAAUUAUUGUGGUUUUUCCGGUAAGACUCCAUGCUCGGACGUUAGUUAAAUUAAUUUGGAUCUAAAUUAUAUUAUUUUCCUCAAGGGACGUCUUGGACCAAGAAAUUACUGCAGCGCGGGAUUUCCUUCAGUAGGGGCUCGAGCACUGCAACCUCCUUCUAGGUUAGGACUUCGUCGCUUGGAAAGCGUACUGCCUCGCGGUUAGGACUCGACAAGUAGAUCUCCAGGUAAGAGAUUCUACUACUAGUUUCAUGUUUGAAGUAUGAGACUGUGUAUGCCCUAUGUUGCAUAUUGAGAGUUUGACAGUAUGAUGCCUGAAAUAAAUGUUAGUAUGAUGCAAAUGACGAUAUAGUUGUGCUAUAGCCUGUUAUGCGUGGCAAGAUUUAUUAUGGUUACGACGAAUGUCGGGGCGGAGAGUGUAGAAAUGAUUUAUGUGACAUGUUAUAUGCUGAUGCCAUGUGUAUGUAUACUGCAAAUUAGGGUACCUGUUAGCUUGAUUCUGUUAGAGUCGUACCUGCAUGGGUGUCCUUCGGGAUCACCACCUAUUGAGGACUGUGUGGUCCGACGGGACGCCAGUCUAGCAUGAUAUAGACAUGACUCGAGUGACUCGACGGGGUCCUCGCAUCCCGACUGUCCUAGGUGUCCCCGGGCACCGAAGACCAGAGUUACGUUCCUACGGGAGCGCAUGAUUGCACGUGUUCGGGAACGUGCCAGAGAUUGGGUACCAGUUAUCAGGACUCUAACAGGAAGUUAACAGGCACCUAGUGGGACUAGUAGUGGGUCCCUUACUGAGUAUUUUUAUACUCAUUCUCUCCACUUUAUGUUUUCAGGUAGAGGACGAGGCAAAGGCAAGGGCAAGCUGGCGAGCGACCCGAAGUGAGACCGAGGAGGGCCAUAGGGACUACCGCUUCCGCUUAUUUCUUAUUUCAGAUUUUAGCAUUUGAGUUUGAGUACUUUUUUAUUUUUCACUAUCUUUUAUGUAGAUAGGGCCCGAGUAGGAUUUCAGAACGUUUUUACAUUUUUGCAUGACUACCUUGUUUAUGUUUUUAUAAAUGAAUUUCUUGAACCGUAUGCUUUUAAUAAAAUUUUUAGACUUAAACCACUUGUUCUAUAUUUAGUAAUGACUUCGAUUCAGCAUAA